This 539-nucleotide long non-coding RNA is filed under the name Mytilus galloprovincialis (Mediterranean mussel). Lineage: Eukaryota; Metazoa; Mollusca; Bivalvia; Mytilida; Mytilidae. The record is from RNAcentral.
AUCACUACCAAAAGACUAACUCUCCAGUCCGAUCAUCAUAUUGACUUUGAAUAUGCCAGGCAUACUGCUGUUACAAAAAUGUCACUCUGCUACAAUCAGUUGUUCCAGGUUUCAUUUAGGACAAAGUUCAAAGUACUCCUUAAUUAUUUUCUCGAAAAAGCAAUAUUUUUUUUGUCAGGAAUCGUUAGUAUUUUCUCGGAAAAGUAAGGUAUUUAUUUCCGGAAACGUAGAUUUAUUUUUUGCAGAAACGUCAUUUUUCCCGGAAAAGUAAUGCCAAUUUUCGGAAACGUAAAACGCCGCUGAUUAUCCAUAGGACUGUUGGCUAUCUUUUUGGGAAAUUGUGAACUUUCGUCUUUUUUUUUUUAUAUAACUAUUGUUUAAAUCUAUAAUUAUCUUAUGUUGUUAUUGCAUAUCUUUAUAUGGAUAUAUAUUAUACUAUAGUUACUUAUUACACGUGGGAGGGGACUAUCUAAGUUGUGAUCAUUUGUGUCUGGUCCUUUUUGUUAUAUGUAAUAACAAAUAAAAUAUGUUUAAAUUAG